RNAcentral lists this long non-coding RNA (1405 nucleotides) under Serinus canaria (Common canary). Its description in RNAcentral is "lncRNA (ENSSCAG00000003487.1)". The record is from RNAcentral. Lineage: Eukaryota; Metazoa; Chordata; Aves; Passeriformes; Fringillidae.
GACUGCUGUAGGGGAGGAGAGUUCACAUCUGCAGGAAAGGGUGGCUCUGUGUGCUCAUGGGAAAGCCAAAUCAGCUUCCAGGGUGUCCAUGGAAAAAGAGCCCUGCAAGUUUCCAGCUCUAUUGGCAAAGGGCAGGUUGGGCAGAACACCCCAGCUGUGGGCCCAGGGGGAUCAGGAGCAAAGCCAGAGCUCCAGGUGCUCCCCUCUGGGACCAAGCUUGGCACUGCCCCAACAGUGACUUCAUCAUCCCCAGGGCACAGCACAGGCUCCUUCUCCUGCACCAGCCUGACUUAUCCCCUUCUCCUAACUACCUGUGGAUUCUUUUUGCAGUUUCCAUUACGACUGGGACACCAGCUCCAGCAGCAUGAAUGACCCUAUGGUGGACUCGGGCAAAGCCAGCGACAUCUCGGUGUCGAGCUGGCCCACGGAGCCCAUCCAGUGGGCUCCCUUCCCUCUCCAGCAGCUCUCCAGGCAGCGACCGCACAAGGCCCGACUGGCCGCAGCCGUUCUGGCGAGGGGCUGGGAGCUGGGCACGCUGGGAGCGGAGCUGGACGGCCUGAGCCCACGGAAACAGACGGACACGAGGUUCAGCUUUAAAACCAACCACAUUUUAUUUCCACGUAACGAGCUCAGUGAAGGAAUCCACACACUUGGACGAUACAAUCAACGCGGGUGUGAUGUCAGUGAUGUCAGUCCCAGCGGGGCAGAGCCCCUGCCCCGGCUCCUGUCCGCGCCUCGCGAGCUCUGGCUGGGACUGCGGGCUCCAGAGCGGGCAGAUACAGAGAGGUGUCAGGACACACAGUGCUGGCAUCCACCAGGUCGUGACUUUUGGGGGCAGUUGGGGCAGGAAGGCUGGCGGUUCUGGAGGGCGCAUCGGGCUCUGGACGCAGCGGCUCUGCCCCGCGGCCGCCGCAGGACGAGCUCAGCCACGCCGGAGGGAGGGAGACACACGAAAGCGCUGCUGCGUCGCUCAUCAUGGUUCAUGUCAAUGAGGUAUAAACACCAGGAUGUUGUAAGCAUUAAAGUUUAUUUUCCAAAAUGCUCUCCUUAUUCGCACGUGUCCUCUGGAGCAUCGAGCUGGGCACAAAUGGUGGGGGCUGGAAAUGGGGCGCUGUACGGAGGGCGAGGGCAACGGGGUCCCAAAGGUGCUCGGAUAGAAAAGGAAAAGCAAGCUGCAGUUCUACACUUAGACUCUCAUAGUCUCAGAUGGGGAACGUUGAGGGAGAUUUUUGCUAGAAUAAAAUGCAGAUCUCUUCAUAAAAAAAUCAGUUUGCUAAAAGAAAACUCAACCUAUGGGAAUACAGAGCUAUCAGUUCGGUCGAUAUUCUCAUCGUAUAGAAAACAGCCUACAAAUAAAGUCACAAAAAAUAGACAGUUAUAUGCUGAGCAGCCAAAAACAUCAUGA